This 27-nucleotide non-coding RNA is filed under the name Macaca fascicularis (crab-eating macaque). The record is from RNAcentral. Lineage: Eukaryota; Metazoa; Chordata; Mammalia; Primates; Cercopithecidae. RNAcentral also lists the same sequence under 1 other name.
UACGGCCUGGUGGUGGCAGUCCUCAUC